UAUUGGACAAUGGGGGCAACCCUGAUCCAGCCAUGCCGCGUGCGUGAAGAAGGCCUUUUGGUUGUAAAGCACUUUAAGCAGUGAAGAAGACUCCGUGGUUAAUACCCACUGACGAUGACAUUAGCCGCAGAAUAAGCACCCGCCAACCCUGUGCCAGCAGCCGCGGUAAUACAGAGGGUGCAAGCGUUAAUCGGAAUUACUGGGCGUAAAGCGAGCGUAGGUGGCUUGAUAAGUCAGAUGUGAAAUCCCCGGGCUUAACCUGGGAACUGCAUCUGAUACUGUUAGGCUAGAAUAGGUGGGAGGAAGGUAGAAUUCCAGGUGUAGCGGUGAAAUGCGUAGAGAUCUGGAGGAAUACCGAUGGCGAAGGCAGCCUUCUGGCAUCAUAUUGACACUGAGGUUCGAAAGCGUGGGUAGCAAACA
This 420-nucleotide ribosomal RNA is filed under the name uncultured bacterium. Its description in RNAcentral is "bacterial SSU rRNA". It matches the Rfam family "Bacterial small subunit ribosomal RNA", at positions 362 to 774 of the family's 1533-position model. The record is from RNAcentral.